GGUUUAAUUCGAUGAUACGCGAGGAACCUUACCCGGGCUUGAAUUGCAGAGGAAGGAUUUGGAGACAAUGACGCCCUUCGGGGCCUCUGUGAAGGUGCUGCAUGGUUGUCGUCAGCUCGUGCCGUGAGGUGUCGGCUUAAGUGCCAUAACGAUGCGCAACCCCUCUCCAUAGUUGCCAUCCAGGUCAAGCUGGGCACUCUGUGGACACUGCCACCGUAAGGUGCGA
This 226-nucleotide ribosomal RNA is filed under the name uncultured bacterium. RNAcentral's name for it is "partial 16S ribosomal RNA". It matches the Rfam family "Bacterial small subunit ribosomal RNA", at positions 943 to 1167 of the family's 1533-position model. The record is from RNAcentral.